This 301-nucleotide ribosomal RNA is filed under the name uncultured bacterium. RNAcentral's name for it is "partial 16S ribosomal RNA". It matches the Rfam family "Bacterial small subunit ribosomal RNA", at positions 509 to 807 of the family's 1533-position model. The record is from RNAcentral.
CAGCCGCCGCGGUAAUACGUAGGGUGCAAGCGUUAAUCGGAAUUACUGGGCGUAAAGCGUGCGCAGGUGGUUUAAUAAGUCUGAUGUGAAAGCCCACGGCUCAACCGUGGAGGGUCAUUGGAAACUGUUAAACUUGAGUGCAGGAGAGAAAAGUGGAAUUCCUAGUGUAGCGGUGAAAUGCGUAGAGAUUAGGAGGAACACCAGUGGCGAAGGCGGCUUUUUGGCCUGUAACUGACACUGAGGCGCGAAAGCGUGGGGAGCAAACAGGAUUAGAUACCCCCGUAGUCCCUGUCUCUUAUAC